CGGCACGGGUGGAGUAACACGUAUCCAACCUGCCGUCUACUCUUGGCCAGCCUUCUGAAAGGAAGAUUAAUCCAGGAUGGCAUCAUGAGUUCACAUGUCCGCAUGAUUAAAGGUAUUUUCCGGUAGACGAUGGGGAUGCGUUCCAUUAGAUAGUAGGCGGGGUAACGGCCCACCUAGUCAACGAUGGAUAGGGGUUCUGAGAGGAAGGUCCCCCACAUUGGAACUGAGACACGGUCCAA
This 239-nucleotide ribosomal RNA is filed under the name uncultured bacterium. RNAcentral's name for it is "partial 16S ribosomal RNA". It matches the Rfam family "Bacterial small subunit ribosomal RNA", at positions 100 to 334 of the family's 1533-position model. The record is from RNAcentral.